RNAcentral lists this long non-coding RNA (285 nucleotides) under Cyanistes caeruleus (blue tit). Its description in RNAcentral is "Prostate androgen-regulated transcript 1 conserved region 2 (ENSCCEG00000016381.1)". It matches the Rfam family "Prostate androgen-regulated transcript 1 conserved region 2". Lineage: Eukaryota; Metazoa; Chordata; Aves; Passeriformes; Paridae. The record is from RNAcentral.
AUGCAUGCUGGGCUGUAAUUUAUGAAACGGAGCCCAGGAAACAACCAAUCGCUCAGCUUCUCCUAACAAGUCCAACUGGCUAUGAAAAGCUGGAAGUGCUGCACAGAACAAUGAAGAGGAGCUAUCCCACAUAUUAAUCUGCUUUUCUAGGAUUGCCUUCUGUGUCGAGAGAGGGAAGCAUGUAAAAGGGAGAGGAAAAAAAAAAAAGAAAAAUCAGAGCUUCACUGUUAAAAGAACAGAAUAAAUUCCACUCAACAUGAAAAUCCUCCAUUGCAGUCUGAUGAC